UCCUGCCUCCCCUCUUUGAUCCUUUUCUG
Molecule: non-coding RNA, 29 nt
Filed under: Homo sapiens (human)
Lineage: Eukaryota; Metazoa; Chordata; Mammalia; Primates; Hominidae
Source: RNAcentral